This 1970-nucleotide long non-coding RNA is filed under the name Equus asinus (donkey). Its description in RNAcentral is "lncRNA (ENSEASG00005038012.1)". Lineage: Eukaryota; Metazoa; Chordata; Mammalia; Perissodactyla; Equidae. The record is from RNAcentral.
GGCCCGGGGCCUCCCGGGGCCAUCGGGGUCAUCGGCCCGCCCGGCACGGAGCCCGCCGCGGGGGCUGGGCGGGGGAGGGAGGGCAUCCGAGCCUCUCUUUUGGGAGGUGAGAUGCUGAGGCCUGAGGGUGCGUAGGGGAGCGGUCCAAGGUCACGGCUGGUGACCGGCAGGGCCCGUGGUCUGUGUGACUCCAAAGCCGUGGUCCUGGUCCAGCUCUGGAGGGGUGCAGCGGGGUUCAGGCUCUCGUGGAAACUCAAGAGCAGGAGGUCUGAAUCUGGGGGCUGCGGAUGGCCUCCCAGAGGUCUGCGAACCCCGUGAGUUUGUGUGUCACAUGUUGUGUUGCAUUUUUCUUGAGAGUUUCAUAGGUGUCAGUGACCCAAAAAGGGGUAAGAACCAGGGCUUUCCCAGGUGCCGGUUCCUCUGUGGGGCCUCUGACUGUGCGAGGUCCUGAGGCUCUUCUGCAGUCUACGGCAUCUUGAGACUCUCUCCUCCAGGCCUUGCUGGUCCCCUGGAGGGACUGGCCGUCUCUACAGGAUCCCAGGAUCCUUCUCCCGCAUCUUGAGAAUCUUGCUAUAGAGUCCUGGGGUCCAUCUGGGUAUUUGAGGUCCCCAGGGGACCCUGGUAUCUCUUUCUGAGACGCUGAGAAUCUCACCGUAGAGUCCUCGGGUCCUCCAUGGUGUGAGUUCUAAACCUGGGCCUCAGGAUGCCUGUGAGCCCCUGAAAUUGCAGGCAAGAUUUUGUGGGUCUGUCUGUAGACGUGUAGUUCCUGGGAGAGGUCGCAUGGAUUUCACCAGAUUCUGAAAGGGGUCCCUGAUCCCCAAAGCUGGGAAAACAUUGCUUUAGAGCGUCCAGUCUUAGACAGACCUUGCUCCCUUCUCACCAAGAAGAGCCAGGGAGGAAUGAGAUGGAGGAGAUAAAAGGCAGCGUUGUGUAGCAGAUGGAGUGUGGGCUUUGGAGUCAGGCAUCUGGGUUAAAAUCCCGGUCUUUCCACUUACCAGCUUUGUGACCUUGAGCAAGUUUCUUAACCUCUCUGAGCCUUAAGGCCACCUCCUCUAGGAAGCCUUCCCUUGUCCUGAAUUCAGCCAGAUCCCCGCUCCACAUCCCUCAAGCCCUCAUAGCACGUGGCCUGAUGCUUUGUGGCACUUAGUGCAGUUGCUGUGAAGGAAUUAACCAUAUUUAGUGUUGUCUGUCCUCCCCAGCAGUCAUCAGCUCCGAGAAGGCAGGGACCUUUGCUGUCGCCCAGUCUGUGCCGUGCCUGGCCCUUGUCAGGCUCUCAGCCAUUCGAGAUGGCAAUCUGCAGCACCGAAGAGUUCAGGGACUUGCCCGAGGCCGCCCCGGCGAUCACAGCUGCCUGAGUUCAGAGCUCACUCGCUUCGGAAUCCAGCCCACAUCCCUCAGAAAGCGGACUUGGAUGUUGUGAAGGUCUUGGUUCAGACCCCACUACACGUGAGCCUUCGGCCACUGUAGGAGAUCAGGACCAUUAUUACGCUCGUUUUUUCAGAUGAGAAACUGAGAUGCAGACUUCAAAGCCAGAGGUCACACAACUGGCUAGCGCGCUGGAAACGCCCAGGGCCUGGCUGCAGCUCUCCCAGAGGCCUGCGGAGACGCCAAGGGCAGUUUAACACAGAUCCACCUCUCUCUGAGGAAAGAGAGAGGAGAAAGGCACAGGGAGGGACGGUCAGCCCUCCUGCAAAGAGAACUCACAGCCGUUCCCAACUGGGAGGCUUGCCGAGGGAGAGACACCCUGGGGCAUCAGAUGUGACUCUGCAGAAUCCACCUGGGGUCUCGAGACUGGAGUGUUGGUUCCUGUUCCAAGGGCACUGCUCUGCCGGGCCACUCUCAGCAAGCCAUUUCCUCUCUCAGGACCUCAGAGUCUUCCACCGUGAGACGAUUGGGUGGAUCAUCACGAGGGGUGCUGUGUGGUGUUAGGAGCUAAUAAUAUUGAUGAUAAUAAUAAUAAUGAAAAUCAG